CCGGAUGCCCUGAGGGCCGCGCAGGGCUGGCGGGGCGCGGAAGCGGGGCUCUGUGGGGCUCUGUGCGCAGCCGGGUGGCUCCGCCUGGACGGGACUCCCACAGAACAGAGGCCGUGCCCGCCCUCAGCGUGCUUGUUGAAUCUGCUACUCAGGAAUAUUUUCUCUAGAAAAACUGCUUCAGUCAUAAGUGCAGAGAGUAUCUCCUCCCCUCACCUCAUCCCAGGGCUCAGAGGAACAGAACAAUUUCAGAAAAUCAAGGACUAUGGGUAUGAAUUCCCUGAGAGAGGAGAGAAAAUGAGCUUGCGCCUUAGAUGCUGGGUAAGCUCCUCUUGGGUUCUUAUACCAAAGGACUGUGGCAGCAGCACUGCCAUUUUAGAAGAUAAUUCUUGCUUUCAUAUUUUGUGUUGAACUCAACCUGUACAUUAUAUACGCUCUGAAAACAUCGCCUGCAAUACCAGAAGGUAUUGAAUUAAACAAUC
This 479-nucleotide long non-coding RNA is filed under the name Meleagris gallopavo (turkey). Its description in RNAcentral is "lncRNA (ENSMGAG00000018812.1)". Lineage: Eukaryota; Metazoa; Chordata; Aves; Galliformes; Phasianidae. The record is from RNAcentral.